GAUGCAAGGGUCAUUUGCGAAGAAAAAACAUUUAGUAUUAGUGAGAAGAACACCACUCACUAACAAAACAUUCAAUAGGAAAGUAAACAAAUUCUAAAACUCAAAUAGUCGUAACUCAAUCAUUCCCUCUUUCCUUUUCGGGGAAUACCAUGCUACCACUUUCCCAGACUUUAGAAGCUUUAACGAGUAAUUUAAACUGCAUACAAAAUCUUCCAAUUGUACGCCAGCUGGUGAAUUCAGCGAAAACUUUGAAUCUAC
Molecule: unclassified non-coding RNA, 258 nt
Filed under: Hevea brasiliensis (rubber tree)
Lineage: Eukaryota; Viridiplantae; Streptophyta; Magnoliopsida; Malpighiales; Euphorbiaceae
Source: RNAcentral